GACGAACGCUGGCGGCGUGCUUAACACAUGCAAGUCGAACGGAAAGGCCCUUCGGGGUACUCGAGUGGCGAACGGGUGAGUCACACGUGGGUGAUCUGCCCUGCACUUUGGGAUAAGCCUGGGAAACUGGGUCUAAUACCGAAUAGGACCACGCGCUUCAUGGUGUGUGGUGGAAAGCUUUUGCGGUGUGGGAUGGGCCCGCGGCCUAUCAGCUUGUUGGUGGGGUAAUGGCCUACCAAGGCGACGACGGGUAGCCGGCCUGAGAGGGUGACCGGCCACACUGGGACUGAGAUACGGCCCAGACUCCUACGGGAGGCAGCAGUGGGGAAUAUUGCACAAUGGGCGCAAGCCUGAUGCAGCGACGCCGCGUGAGGGAUGACGGCCUUCGGGUUGUAAACCUCUUUCAAUAGGGACGAAGCGCAAGUGACGGUACCUAUAGAAGAAGCACCGGCCAACUACGUG
This 462-nucleotide ribosomal RNA is filed under the name uncultured bacterium. Its description in RNAcentral is "partial 16S ribosomal RNA". It matches the Rfam family "Bacterial small subunit ribosomal RNA", at positions 28 to 507 of the family's 1533-position model. The record is from RNAcentral.